UGAUUUGUUGGACGCUAGCGGCGGAUGGGUGAGUAACACGUGGGCAAUCUGCCCUAAAGACUGGGAUACCACUUGGAAACAGGUGCUAAUACCGGAUAACAACAUGAAUCGCAUGAUUCAAGUUUGAAAGGCGGCGUAAGCUGUCACUUUAGGAUGAGCCCGCGGCGCAUUAGCUAGUUGGUGGGGUAAAGGCCUACCAAGGCAAUGAUGCGUAGCCGAGUUGAGAGACUGAUCGGCCACAUUGGGACUGAGACACGGCCCAAACUCCUACGGGAGGCAGCAGUAGGGAAUCUUCCACAAUGGACGCAAGUCUGAUGGAGCAACGCCGCGUGAGUGAAGAAGGUUUUCGGAUCGUAAAGCUCUGUUGUUGGUGAAGAAGGAUAGAGGCAGUAACUGGUCUUUAUUUGACGGUAAUCAACCAGAAAGUCACGGCUAACUACGUGCCAGCAGCCGCGGUAAUACGUAGGUGGCAAGCGUUGUCCGGAUUUAUUGGGCGUAAAGCGAGCGCAGGCGGAAUGAUAAGUCUGAUGUGAAAGCCCACGGCUCAACCGUGGAACUGCAUCGGAAACUGUCAUUCUUGAGUGCAGAAGAGGAGAGUGGAAUUCCAUGUGUAGCGGUGGAAUGCGUAGAUAUAUGGAAGAACACCAGUGGCGAAGGCGGCUCUCUGGUCUGCAACUGACGCUGAGGCUCGAAAGCAUGGGUAGCGAACAGGAUUAGAUACCCUGGUAGUCCAUGCCGUAAACGAUGAGCGCUAGGUGUUGGGGACUUUCCGGUUCUCGGGGGCCCGCACAAGCGGUGGAGCAUGUGGUUUAAUUCGAAGCAACGCGAAGAACCUUACCAGGUCUUGACAUCCUGCGCUACACCUAGAGAUAGGU
RNAcentral lists this ribosomal RNA (875 nucleotides) under Lactobacillus delbrueckii subsp. bulgaricus. RNAcentral's name for it is "bacterial SSU rRNA". It matches the Rfam family "Bacterial small subunit ribosomal RNA", at positions 76 to 1011 of the family's 1533-position model. The record is from RNAcentral. Lineage: Bacteria; Bacillati; Bacillota; Bacilli; Lactobacillales; Lactobacillaceae.